AUUUCUUUAAAAGUAUUGUUAAGAAAUGGGUCGAGGCAAUCAAGAGUGCAAGAAAAUAUGUUUAAAUACCUGAAAAACACAGGAACAAUAGAUAGAAUCUAGUUUUUUUUUUUUUUCCCUUCUGUAUUUCUUUCUUCCCAAUUUAUGCACACUCCACACUCCAGAUCAGUAGGUGGCGGUAAUGCACCUGGUUUGCAAAACCGCCAUAAAACACCAGAAGAAGAAGAGUUAGGAGUUGAGUGUGAGUAGUCAGGGAGUUUGUAUAGUGUUUUUUCGAGUUAUUGCAUGCUUUUCAUAACUGGUUGGAGCGAUUUGUUUUUGGACAAUGGCUUCAAGAACUUUUUUUUUUGGUGUGUAGGCUGUUUUGAAGGGGCUUGAUCGGCUGAGUGACACUGAAACUUGUAGCAAUGAUAGCUUCGACUCGGUCAGACAAGCUGCUUACGACGCUGGAGAAGAUCCUUCCUGAGUUUGAUCUAGACUCCAGUGUUGAAGAAUUGCUGCCAAGCACCAGCAAGGAGGUUGUUUGCCUACCCCCCACCUCCAAGACCCCCACACCUACUGCUGGUGAUACUGUGAGGCCACAGCCAAUUCCUGUGCUUGGUGCCAUCUAGAAACUGUUUUAGAAAAUGGCACACUGAUGGACACUCUUGAGAAAGAUUGCAACCGAUGAAAACUGUUGACAAAGCAACAAACAAAAACUAAAAGUUGGCCUCCAUUUUUUUUCUAUAGCAACUUAUUGACAUUUUUUAUAGUUGUUAUAUUCUGUAUAUAGUUAUUUUACAUAUUAGAUUUGUAUAUUGUGUUUUUGCACUGCUUUUUGCACAUUUUUCUCUAUAUAUUUGAUUUAUUUUCUUGGAGUUUAUUAUCUUGUGCAUAAUAAAAUGCAAGAACUGCUACUUACUCUCAUUUUGCUUAGGUAUAUAAUACACAACAUGGGUCAAGUUAGGUGAUAAAGUGUUGGAUCAUUCUCUUGUCAAGUGUAAAGCAUAGUAAAAAGUGUUUUACAGGUAAUAAGCCUGUUUUUGAAUAAUUUGUGUUUAUGGAUGAAAAUGGGAGACUUCAGAAAAGACAUUGCCUCCCUUCAGUUAAAGCUCAAUAACUUUUGUGAAGGUUAUAAAAGGAUAAAGCUUUUUUUCUCUAUUUACU
This 1146-nucleotide long non-coding RNA is filed under the name Sinocyclocheilus grahami. RNAcentral's name for it is "lncRNA (ENSSGRG00000032397.1)". The record is from RNAcentral. Lineage: Eukaryota; Metazoa; Chordata; Actinopteri; Cypriniformes; Cyprinidae.